Sinocyclocheilus anshuiensis is the source of this 1646-nucleotide long non-coding RNA. RefSeq lists it as uncharacterized. The transcript has 3 exons. Lineage: Eukaryota; Metazoa; Chordata; Actinopteri; Cypriniformes; Cyprinidae. The record is from RefSeq and is a predicted model, not a curated record.
GGGGCCUGGACUGAACCAGCCUAGUUAGCGAGGACCAGGGGAGCAAGGCAGGCGUGCACGCUGGGAGAGAGCGCACCUCGCUGGGCUUUAGUCCACCGCACUCGUGGUUCUUCAGGCUGAAACGGUUUGAGACGAAGCGGAGGAUGAGGAGUGGAUGGGGGGGAGCAAAGGGUCCCCACCCACCCCUCUGUCUCCAGUGGAGAUGGGGAGAAGGACAAAGGAGCUCUCUCCUUCCUCCAGCCCCCCUCCUCAAAAGGGCAGCAGAUUUGCCAGCAUUGAUUAGUACUUGGUAUCGUAGAUGUGAAUCAUCUGGACUGGACUGAAAAUUUGAACCAGUUAUAAAAGUGGUUUAUAUAAAUGAGAAUAUGACUUGAUAAAGCUCAGCGGUUGGUCCAUUACUACGGCAUCACAUGGCAUGCAAAGUUCAGACCUCAAUAUCAAUCAAAUAGACAGUGUUUGACUGUAGAUUUUACAUUCAUACAAAUUAAAUAAUACACUUUUGGACCAGAAAAAGUUACUCAGUUCGACAUGUUUGAUUAUUUUGUCAUUCAUUCAUUCAUUCACUCAUUCACACAGCCUUUGUAAACCUUGACAUCAAUAUACUCAUCAAUAUAGUCUAUAUUUAGAUAUAAUGUGUGCAUGAAAAAGGACAUUCUGUUUUUACUAUUCUGUGACAGUUAAUCAACAUUAACCCAAAAAAUUGUUCAAAAAUGACUCUUCCAUCCUUUAACAAACUAGCUAUACCCAUAAUGCCAUUCUUUAAUCUGACAUUCUCUGUUGCAGGCUGACUGACGGGCAAUGAAAACACAUGUAUGUGCACACUGGAGUUUCCCAGAAUUCAACGCUUGACUGAAUUGAACGCAUUAACAUACAUUGAGGUUAAAAAGCACCAGAAGGCAUCUACCCACAAGAAGCUUGGAGUAACCAUCAAAACAGUGGUCUUGAUAGUCUUUGACAUCACCUACGUUCUCUCUCUGUCAUGGAUGAUGGAUGGUUAAAAUGGUGAAAUGGGUGAUUGGCCUCAUCAUGAGAACUGAAUGACAGGUGAGCGAAGGAAACACAUGCGAGGAGAGAGGUCGAGAUGAAAAGAUAAAGCUCCAGGAAAGCAACACUACAUUCCAGAAUCAAUGUGAGCAGAAAAAAACAAACAGGCAUGGAAUGCGAAGGACAGCAGGGAAAGAGUCAUGCAGACAAACAGAUGUGGUUUUGAUGAUCAAAUGGUCUGAUUUUUAGUUUGGUUUAGAUCCAUAUCCAUUUGUGUAACAGUGUUACCUGGAAUUUAAACUUAAAUGCAUUCACACUCAAUUCAAAUCAAUGUGAAUUUGAAUUCAUUCAUGGGACGGAGAUGGAAUUGAAUGUACUCCACAAUAUUUUUAUGAGAAUGAUAUAUUAAACAGGUAAGUCAUCAGGUGUUCAAUUUGUUACAGUGUUAUUUGGAAAUGAAACUGAAUUGCAUUCACACUCAAUUCAAAUCAAUGUGAUUUUGAAUUCAUUCGGACGGAGAUGGAAUUGAACACACUUCACAAUACGUUAUGAAAAAGUCAUUUUAAACAGAUGUCAUCAGGUGUGAGGCACAUUUCCCGGGAAUCAUUUUAAAAAGCUCAUCUUCUGUGUUCUGCACACUAGAAAGGAGCCAUUUCUGUGAA